Molecule: long non-coding RNA, 1347 nt
Organism: Maylandia zebra (zebra mbuna)
Lineage: Eukaryota; Metazoa; Chordata; Actinopteri; Cichliformes; Cichlidae
Source: RefSeq, a predicted model, not a curated record
AUACCACAGGUUAAUACACGCUACUGAUCCCUGAUGGGAGAAUCAUCAAUUUUGGCAACAAAGAAGCCUGGUGGAUGUUUGUUUACAGUCUGAUGAUGGGACAUCAUGCUCUGCAUCUUCAAAGUUUGCCUCCUCAUUAUUAUUCAUACCCAGUAAUGUGAAGUAUGCUUAUAUCUACUAUAACUGAACCAACCUGGUGCUCUUCAUUUAUGGAGGCUGUUGAGUCUGAAUGUUGGAUGUUGUGUAUCUCGUGUUCUCUGGGCUUUGUUGUCCUCGGUCUUUUCGCAGGAUCAGAAAACAAAACCAGGAGGCGCGUAAAUGUUUCUUCUCCAUGAUGUUUCUUCAAAUGUUUCUUCUGGAUGAUGAUAAGACUGACACGGGAUGCCACCUUUGGUCUUGUGAUGAAGCAAAGCUCAGGAAGAAGUGUGAUUAAAUGGUACCCACAUGUGUGCUGCUGAGAAGGAUGUACAGGGGCACCUGCAGCCAAAUCCAAGCCUCAGAGCGGCAGUUUGUGCUCACAGAUGGUGACGGUGUGGAGAGAUGGUGGUGUUUCCUCAGAAGAACCAGCAGAGUCACAAAGGACACCAGUCCAUCUCACCACCUUGACUUGCUGACUGAUGUUCGUCUGCACUGCACAGAGGAAAUCAGCUGACCGAGGAGUGUUUCUGAGUGAGGGGGGAGGAGUCAUCAUCCAGAUGGGCAGCAUAUCAGUCUUGGACUGUCUAACCUGCAGCACUGAAUGACCACCACACAUGAGCAUGUUCCUGCAACAUUCAGCAUCUGAUCCUUCAUCUGUGUGCUUCUGCUUUUGUGUCACAUGUCAAACAGCUGGAGAGGAAACUACACCAGCGUACUGAGAUGUUUCACCAACACGUGCCAGAUGCUGUUCCUUCAUGGUGACAUCACCAGAGACAGCCCCGCCCACCUCAGGACCUCGCCAUUGAUCAUGAUGAUUAUAAUGAUGACAGCGAGCGGAACUAAGACUGUAAAAAUCCACGACCAGAAUGUUUCUUUCUAAUUAUGAACGAAUAGUGAGAGCCUCUUUCUGUGUUUUGUCUGUUUUGGUUGUGUGUUUUUUUACCUCAUUUGUUACUAACAAAGUUCACAAGCUCACACAGUUUACAUUCUGUAUGUUUCCAUCUUUACCAGACACACUCUAACUGCAUUUAAGAAAAUAAUCCUUAAAAAUCGUCGUUUUUCUCUUUUGUAAUUGAUGAUAAUUCAGUGAAUAUACUGCGCUGCUUCCUUUUAUUGCGUCACACAUUGCUUUAAGUUUUUCAGUGUCCAGUUAUUUUUUACUGCUGUUUGAAUUCUCUGUAUGUUUGACCCUGUAGACUGUUUGAUGGA